CCCGCCGGCGACCGGCGCACGGGUGAGUAACACGUAUGCAACCUGGCCGCCACAGGGGGAUAACCCGCGGAAACGCGGCCUAAUACCCCGUGACGCCACCGGAGGGCAUCCUCCGGUGGCCAAAGGAGCGAUCCGGUGGCGGAUGGGCAUGCGGCGCACUAGCUAGACGGCGGGGUGACGGCCCACCGUGGCGACGAUGCGUAGGGGUUCUGAGAGGAAGGCCCCCCACACUGGGACUGAGACACGGCCCAGACUCCUACGGGAGGCAGCAG
This 272-nucleotide ribosomal RNA is filed under the name uncultured bacterium. RNAcentral's name for it is "partial 16S ribosomal RNA". It matches the Rfam family "Bacterial small subunit ribosomal RNA", at positions 84 to 354 of the family's 1533-position model. The record is from RNAcentral.